CCUCCGCUCCCACCCGACUCGCUCGCGUCUCCGCCGUCUCCCCGGUGUCCCCUCCCACCCCGCUCCGCCCCCCCCCCCCCGCCCCCCAGCCAGCCGCGUCCUCCCGGGCUCGGUGAGGAACUGUUCCCGGAGGAGCCGCGGGACGCCGAAAGCAGCCAAUGGGAAGAGGCGAGACGCCGAGAUUGGCACCGUGGAUGGGAAGCAAACUGGUAGCCUGGAGCUCUGCUCACAUGCAUCCCACCCGCGCCGGAGCAGCUUCCUACAAGCACCCCACUUCCUGACACUUGAGAGCCACGGAAUGGAAGGAGGCUCAGUUGCUUUAGAAGGCCCAGAAUAAAAGGCUCCUUCUGUGGAAAUCUAUCCAGGCCCUAAAGGAAUGGGGGAGGCUAGGCAAGUCAAGGCAUUGUCUACAGAAUGCUGAGCAAAACAUAGAUGUGAGGUGAUCAGCUGGAAAAAAGCAGAGACACAUUGGAAAGUCACACGAAGUGGACAUGGAAAAGGAAGGAAGAGCUAGAUUAAGGUAAGCAUUGGCAUCCAGGCCAAGACAUUUGAAUGUAAUUUGGAAAGUCAGUGUUGCCGAAGGCUGGUAAGGGUGUUAGUCAGAGAUCUCUGGAGAAACAGAACCGAUAGGAUAUGAAUACACACACACAUACACACAUACACACACAUACACAGAAAAAGAGACAGACAGAGGAGUAAUGGUGGGCAUUUGUUUUAAGGAGUCAGCUCUUGUGAAUAUAGAAGUUGGCAAGUUCAAAAUUUGCAGUGCAGGCCAUCAGGCUGGAAAUUCCAGCAGGAGCUGAUAUUGCAGUCUUAAAUCUUAAGGCAGUCCGGAGGCAGUCCUUCUUCAGAGGACCUCAGUCUUUUUCUUAAGUCCUUUACCAGAUUGGAGGAGGCUCACGCACAUUGUGAAGGGUCAGAUCAUCUGCUUUGCUCAAAGUUUGUGGAAUUAAAUUUAACAUCUAACAAUUUCAUAGAAAUUAUUGGUUAGGACAAAGUGGGUUUAUUUAGGUGAAACAGAGUUGAUUUAAAGAAAAUUAUUAAAUAAAUACUGGGUGCAGAUGGUAUAGGGAUAUGUCAA
Molecule: long non-coding RNA, 1081 nt
Filed under: Canis lupus familiaris (dog)
Lineage: Eukaryota; Metazoa; Chordata; Mammalia; Carnivora; Canidae
Description: lncRNA (ENSCAFG00845006899.1)
Source: RNAcentral